This 1004-nucleotide ribosomal RNA is filed under the name uncultured organism. RNAcentral's name for it is "SSU rRNA". It matches the Rfam family "Bacterial small subunit ribosomal RNA", at positions 27 to 1022 of the family's 1533-position model. The record is from RNAcentral.
GGAUGAACGCUAGCUACAGGCUUAACACAUGCAAGUCGAGGGGCAGCAUGGUCUUAGCUUGCUAAGGCCGAUGGCGACCGGCGCACGGGUGAGUAACACGUAUCCAACCUGCCGUCUACUCUUGGACAGCCUUCUGAAAGGAAGAUUAAUACAAGAUGGCAUCAUGAGUCCGCAUGUUCACAUGAUUAAAGGUAUUCCGGUAGACGAUGGGGAUGCGUUCCAUUAGAUAGUAGGCGGGGUAACGGCCCACCUAGUCUUCGAUGGAUAGGGGUUCUGAGAGGAAGGUCCCCCACAUUGGAACUGAGACACGGUCCAAACUCCUACGGGAGGCAGCAGUGAGGAAUAUUGGCCAAUGGGCGAGAGCCUGAACCAGCCAAGUAGCGUGAAGGAUGACUGCCCUAUGGGUUGUAAACUUCUUUUAUAAAGGAAUAAAGUCGGGUAUGCAUACCCGUUUGCAUGUACUUUAUGAAUAAGGAUCGGCUAACUCCGUGCCAGCAGCCGCGGUAAUACGGAGGAUCCGAGCGUUAUCCGGAUUUAUUGGGUUUAAAGGGAGCGUAGAUGGAUGUUUAAGUCAGUUGUGAAAGUUUGCGGCUCAACCGUAAAAUUGCAGUUGAUACUGGAUAUCUUGAGUGCAGUUGAGGCAGGCGGAAUUCGUGGUGUAGCGGUGAAAUGCUUAGAUAUCACGAAGAACUCCGAUUGCGAAGGCAGCCUGCUAAGCUGCAACUGACAUUGAGGCUCGAAAGUGUGGGUAUCAAACAGGAUUAGAUACCCUGGUAGUCCACACGGUAAACGAUGAAUACUCGCUGUUUGCGAUAUACGGCAAGCGGCCAAGCGAAAGCGUUAUGUAUUCCACCUGGGGAGUAGGCCGGCAACGGUGAAAAUCAAAGGAAUCGACGGGGGUCCGCACAAGCGGAGGAACAUGUGGCUUAAUUCGAUGAUACUCGAGGAACCUUACCCGGGCUUAAAUCGCAGAUGAAUUACGGCGAAAGCCGUAAGCCGCAAGG